This is a long non-coding RNA of Temnothorax curvispinosus, 1039 nucleotides long. RefSeq lists it as uncharacterized. The transcript is spliced from 2 exons. Lineage: Eukaryota; Metazoa; Arthropoda; Insecta; Hymenoptera; Formicidae. The record is from RefSeq and is a predicted model, not a curated record.
UCGGUAAAUUUAAUAUGCAAAGCAGCUGGAAACAUUGCUCUGCAUUUCAAUCCACGAUUGGAUAGAGGAUAUAUUGUUAGAAAUACGAAAGUGCGUGGAUCCUGGGAGGACGAAGAGACCUGUUCGCCUGCAGGUCCAAGCGGAUGUAUUUUCCGCCGAAACACUUAUGUACAUCUUAUGAUCUUCUGUACGAAUGAUGCAUUUCAGAUGUUUCCACACAAGCGUUUCCACACAAAGCGAGGAAAAAAGAAAAAACGGGUUUUUAACUUUCCACGCAAACCCAGGUCCACCUCCACCCACCCCUGCCUGCGGUGGAGAGGCGGUAGUCCCUCCCCCGCCUACAUGUGUUGUGUAUAGACACAUACCUGCAAAUUACUUUCUUUAGCACUGACCCAAACUGGCAAAUUUCUCAAACUUUUUCGUUGAUAACUUUUUAACAAACAAUGACCGAGGGCUAAACCUUCUGAAAGUCACUCAGAAGGGUUACCUAUUGUUCGAGAACGAGCUCGAUCGUUUAUUUGUUUUUCGUUUCGUCGCGCAAACAAAGCUUCGAGAAGCUUGCUUCUCGCGUGAUCGUCGCAUGGCCCUAUUGUUCGGUUGCCGUGAUGGGCGGUCCUUAACUUGUUUUUCGUACAACCAGCGACGAUCAGGCGAACGCGUUACCGUUCGGAGCAGCGCGACGCGUAUUCAGUCGGCGUACCGAAAUUGUCGGGCAAGCUCGUCGUCUCCGCGAAUCCCGAAAAGUGGUGAUCGCGCGGUGUUUCUCCGGCAUGCAUUACUAGCAGAUCAUAACGCUGUCCUACAUCUCCGCCUGUGUUGCAUUGAGACACACGGGAUUCAAUCACCGUUAUUACUCCUGCGGAAAACCGAGCAAAGUCAUUCGGAGUAACCGACGGCUUGCCCGCGAGUCAAGUGUGACUCCACGCCGCGAGUGACGUCACGCGUCAAGGUGACCGUUCGCUCGAAUCAAGACUAUAUAAACUCUAACGCGAAAGAUACUUUAUUUGUGAGCAUAAUAAAUAGUGCUGUUUGACAAGUU